RNAcentral lists this ribosomal RNA (707 nucleotides) under uncultured fungus. RNAcentral describes it as "SSU rRNA". It matches the Rfam family "Eukaryotic small subunit ribosomal RNA", at positions 392 to 1100 of the family's 1831-position model. Lineage: Eukaryota; Fungi. The record is from RNAcentral.
GAGCCUGAGAAACGGCUACCACAUCCAAGGAUGGCAGCAGGCGCGCAAAUUACCCAAUCCCGACACGGGGAGGUAGUGACAAUAAAUAACAAUACGGGGUUCUUUAGGAUCUCGUAAUUGGAAUGAGUACAAUUUAAAUCUCUUAACGAGGAACAAUUGGAGGGCAAGUCUGGUGCCAGCAGCCGCGGUAAUUCCAGCUCCAAUAGCGUAUAUUAAAGUUGUUGCAGUUAAGAAGCUCGUAGUUGAAUUUCGGGGUUAGUAGGUUGGUCAUGCCUCUGGUAUGUACUGAUCUCACUGAUUCCUCCUUCCUGAUGAACCGUAAUGCCAUUAAUUUGGUGUUGCGGGGAAUUUGGACUGUUACUUUGGAAAAAUUAGAGUGUUUAAAGCAAGCUAACGCUUGAAUACAUUAGCAUGGAAUAAUGAAAUAGGACGUUCGAUCCUAUUUUGUUGGUUUCUAGGAUUGACGUAAUGAUUAAUAGGGAUAGUUGGGGGCAUUAGUAUUCAAUUGUCAGAGGUGAAAUUCUUGGAUUUAUUGAAGACUAACUUCUGCGAAAGCAUUUGCCAAGGAUGUUUUCAUUAAUCAAGAACGAAAGUUAGGGGAUCGAAGACGAUCAGAUACCGUCGUAGUCUUAACCAUAAACUAUGCCGACUAGGAAUCGGACGAUGUUAAUUUUAUAAUGACUCGUUCGGCACCUUACGGGAAACCA